Long non-coding RNA from Phacochoerus africanus (Common warthog), 1835 nucleotides. RefSeq lists it as uncharacterized. Lineage: Eukaryota; Metazoa; Chordata; Mammalia; Artiodactyla; Suidae. The transcript has 4 exons. The record is from RefSeq and is a predicted model, not a curated record.
UCCUGGUUGCUAGUCAGAAUCGUUUCUACUGAGCCAUGAUGGGAACCCCCGACCUGCCUUUUGUAGUAAGGAGGUUAUAGCCACUCUCCAUGACACGGUUUCUGCAGGGAGACGUAUCCUGUGUUGAGGUAAGAACAAAGCGAAUCUGCCUCCCCCCUCCCUCCCUCCCACGAGGACUGCCUGGGUCUGGAGGCGGGAAGGGAGCGGGGAGGAUGUGGGGAGGCCUCACCCCUUUCAACGUUCAAUCCGAGCUGCUUGCUCUUCAUCUGGACUGUUAUAUGUAUGUUGGGCUUCAGCAUAUGAUUCCCUUUGAAUGUUGAAUCGUGUUCUGAAGCAGAACUGGUGAAAACCGCUGUUUUAAGAAAGCUGGUAUUAAGAGGAAUGCUGACCUAGUGAUUUAAAAGAAGGCUGCUUGUGGACUUGCCAUCAUAACCCCAAGGGGAAAAUGCACGGUUAGUCCUGGACAUGUGCCAAGUUCAUGCUCUCGACUCUGCUCAUCACAGCCUAGAUGUCUGUUCCAGCGUGCAAUUUUCAAUCACGUCUUAACCCUGAAGAGAACGAAGCCGCAUUCAGUGUUACAGGACUAGAAAGAUACGUCCGUUUACAUUUUUGCACUGUUCAUUUAAAUUUUUGCACUGUUUGCAUUUGCAUCAAUGACGGUUUAUGGAAUGCCCUUUUCCUAAACAGGCUUUUCCCUCCCAUUUUCUAAAGAUAACACUGAAAAGUAUUUUGUGCUCAGGCUUGAAAUUACUAAAUAAUCAGAAAGUAUGGCAACUUUGAUGAUUUUCCUCAUGUCGGGUUUCUUUGGAUAAACUACAGGCUUUGUCCCGUCUGAUGUUUUGUCACGAAGCGUGGCUUCAGUGGAUACAGCGUGGCUCACAAGAAGAGGCGAUGCUGGCAAGUGGUAAGCACCGGAGCAGGAAGUCAGAAGCCAGGUAUUUCUGACUCUCUUGCUCAUCACGAUUCGAGUAAGUUCUUAACAGCUGGAUUCUUAGGAACAAAGAUACAGGCCUUGCUGACUUCACGGGCUUGUUCUGGGCUGAAAUGAAUAAUGCUCUGUGAAGGCUUUUUGCAAAUGCCAAGAGCUCUACAAAUCCGCAUGGUGGUAUCACCUGACGUGAACGAGGCUGCCUUUUCUCUUGGCAGCGAUGCUUGUCUAAAGUCACGCUGACAUCUCCUUCCAGGUAGAGUUUCUUCAAAGAGAAGAAGGAAACUAUAAAAGCUGUAGGACUUACCUGAAGUAACGACGUAGAGAUGUUUGCUCAUCAAUGUGUGUAUUUAGAAGUUUUUCAAGUUCUUUUGCUCGCUUCUCCUCCUCCAGAAGGAAAUGCUGGGCAGCCAAAGAAGCUGGAAAGGAUAUAUCUGGGGGAGUCUAAAGAAAGGAAGAAAGAAAAGUUAGAUGAGGAACACAAAGCCUUUUAAAAUCUUCGUAUUUCUGGUGUGAUGUGGUUGCUGCUCAUGAAAUCCUCAAGGAAUGAAAACAUCAAGACUCUUGUAGAGUUUGGCAAAGAAAGCUUAUAGAGGAAAAAAAAUCAGCAUUGGCUUUAAAAGGAGGCUCACUGCUGCAUGGAGUUAGCCAGAUUUGCACCAGUGGUUCCCUCCACCUGAAGCUCUCUACCACAGAUCUUUGCAAGACCCAAUCUUUUUUUGGUUAUUUUGGUUCAAGCUAAAUGUCCCCUCCUCGGCAAUCAUUCUCCUGGCCACUCAACCUAAAGUCAUCCCCCAUACUUGCAUCACUUCCAAUCACAUCAUGUGCUUUUCAUUACAGCAUUUAUCACCAUUUGACAUUUUCUUAUUUAUUCAUUUGUUUCAUUAUUAACUGUUCCCUUUUUUUU